Molecule: transfer RNA, 74 nt
Filed under: bacterium
Lineage: Bacteria
Description: tRNA-Glu
Rfam family: tRNA
About the family: Transfer RNA (tRNA) molecules are approximately 80 nucleotides in length.
Source: RNAcentral
GCCCCCUUCGUCUAGCGGCCUAGGACAUCUGGUUCUCAGCCAGAAGAUCAGGGGUUCGAAUCCCCUAGGGGGUA